This 519-nucleotide ribosomal RNA is filed under the name Triticum aestivum (bread wheat). RNAcentral describes it as "partial small subunit ribosomal RNA". Lineage: Eukaryota; Viridiplantae; Streptophyta; Magnoliopsida; Poales; Poaceae. The record is from RNAcentral.
AUGGCAUCUCAUAGCCCCGUCUUCCUUGACGACAUCGUUUAUUUCCUAGACAUGAAUGGCAGGCUCGGAGUCGUGGACUUGAACGUGGAAAAGAUGGAGUGGAAGGUCCUUGACAAGCCAGAUCAACCGAUACGUGGAAGUGACUAUGUGUAUACAAUUGAGGAGUUGAACUAUAGCUAUCUAGCGGAGUGGAAAGGUGACCUAGUCGCCAUUAUCCGAGAAAACGGCAAUUUUGGGUUCAUCAGAGUACUUAAGCUUGAUUGGUCUAGGAUGGUUUGGAUGGAUUUGGAAGAGUUGGAGGAUGCUGCCGUGUUUCGGGAUAGAAGCAAUGCUCUAAUUGCAAGGCCAGCUUGCGGAAGAGAUUUAUGCAACAAGGUGUACUUUCCGAGCUGUACUAAGACUGACGAUGGUGGGCAGGCCUACUACUGCUUAAAAGAGCAAGAUUACUACCCUUUCUUUUGUGCCAAUGAGCCGAUGAAUGCCAUAUGGUUCGAGCCAAACUUGAAGGACGUACUUUAG